Molecule: long non-coding RNA, 932 nt
Organism: Cannabis sativa
Lineage: Eukaryota; Viridiplantae; Streptophyta; Magnoliopsida; Rosales; Cannabaceae
Exons: 3
Source: RefSeq, a predicted model, not a curated record
CCUAACUAGAUAAUUAUGAGUUAAUUGAGGAAUUAUAUUAUUAUAUAGUUCAAUAUAUGUGAAAUUAUAUGAAAUUUUAACAUGUUAAGACCCCGUUGGUGAGCUAGGGGCAUUUUGGUAAUUAUGACCCGAGAAGGGUAAAUUGAUGAAAUUAAUUUAAUUACGUGCUUAAUAGAACUAUAUUAUUAUAUAGUAUGCCUGUGUUGUCUUUUCAGGUGUGUUCUGACAGGGUGGCGCGGUAUAGUCACAACCGGGUAUUUCGGGCCGAACUGGGUUCGGGCCCGAAAUGAAAAUUAGAUUGAAUUAAUUGGCAUUUUAAUUGAUAUUUGAUAAUUUGAAAUUUAAUUGGGUUUGAAAUUGUGUGUUAAUGCCAUUUUUGCCCUUGUAUGUUUAAAGUGGAAGUUAUAUGGCCCUAAGGGCAUUUUAGUAAUUUGGCUUUAUGAGAUAAGUGUGUGAAAUGGCAUUUUUGACAAAAAAAGAAAAUAGAAUUUUCUGGUUGUAACUCUCUUGGCCGACCCCCCCUCUCUCUCUCAAACCCUUUUCUUUUUCAAUUUUGAUUUUUGAAGAAAUUGCUUGGUUUUGGCCUUGAAUUGAAGCUUUGAGUUUGUAGAUUUUUGAGCUUGUUCUUGGAUUGAGUUUGAGGAUUACCGGCACCUGAUCAGGAGCACCCGGGGAUUUGGAAUCUCCUUCUAUAGCUGGACAACAGGAAAGGGUAAGGCAUUAGCUGAUCUGCCAUGAGUUUUCAGGAGCAGGACGAAGAAUGUACAUGUUCACGCCACUUCAGACCAAGCGGGUUAUGGGUCUAACAGUGUUGACUUUUGUAUUCUGUUUUGCCGCUUAGGUCGGCUAGUAAGAAAGAACUUGUAAUAAUUUUGUAAAUAUUUUUGGGAUCCCAACUAUGUUUGAAAAGUUUAAAUAUAUUACAAGUUUAU